This 450-nucleotide ribosomal RNA is filed under the name uncultured bacterium. RNAcentral describes it as "partial 16S ribosomal RNA". It matches the Rfam family "Bacterial small subunit ribosomal RNA", at positions 354 to 796 of the family's 1533-position model. The record is from RNAcentral.
GUGGGGAAUAUUGGACAAUGGGCGAAAGCCUGAUCCAGCCAUGCCGCGUGUGUGAAGAAGGUCUUCGGAUUGUAAAGCACUUUAAGUUGGGAGGAAGGGCAGUAAGUUAAUACCUUGCUGUUUUGACGUUACCGACAGAAUAAGCACCGGCUAACUUCGUGCCAGCAGCCGCGGUAAUACGAAGGGUGCAAGCGUUAAUCGGAAUUACUGGGCGUAAAGCGCGCGUAAGUGGUUUUGUAAGUUGGAGGUGAAAUCCCCGGGCUCAACCUGGGAACUGCCUCCAAAACUGCAUGACUAGAGUACGGUAGAGGGUAGUGGAAUUUCCUGUGUAGCGGUGAAAUGCGUAGAUAUAGGAAGGAACACCAGUGGCGAAGGCGACUACCUGGACUGAUACUGACACUGAGGUGCGAAAGCGUGGGGAGCAAACAGGAUUAGAAACCCUGGUAGUCC